Podarcis lilfordi (Lilford's wall lizard) is the source of this 263-nucleotide non-coding RNA. Lineage: Eukaryota; Metazoa; Chordata; Lepidosauria; Squamata; Lacertidae. The record is from the annotation of a GenBank genome assembly.
AUGUUGGGAAAGAUGGAGGGCACAAGGAGAAGGGGACGACGGAGAAUGAGAUGGUUGGAUGGUGUUCUUGAAGCUACCAGCAUGAGUUUGAUCAAACUGCGAGAGGCAGUGAAGGACAGAAGUGCCUGGCGUGCUCUGGUCCAUGGGGUCACGAAGAGUCGGACACGACUAAACGACUAAACAACAACAAACAAGGAACCAACAGCAGCUGAAAAGCAUGUCGAACCAUGUGUCCUUUUUUUCCAGGACACGUCCUCUUUUUC